UACAGAGAUCUCAAGCGUUGUUCGGAUUCAUUGGGCGUAAAGGGUGCGUAGGUGGUGAGGUAAGUUGGAUGUGAAAUCCCGGGGCUCAACCCCGGAACUGCAUUCGAUACUGCCUUGCUCGAGUACUGGAGAGGAGACUGGAAUUUACGGUGUAGCAGUGAAAUGCGUAGAUAUCGUAAGGAAGACCAGUGGCGAAGGCGAGUCUCUGGACAGUUACUGACACUGAGGCACGAAGGCCAGGGGAGCAAACGGG
Molecule: ribosomal RNA, 253 nt
Filed under: uncultured bacterium
Lineage: Bacteria
Description: partial 16S ribosomal RNA
Rfam family: Bacterial small subunit ribosomal RNA
Source: RNAcentral